GACCAGUAUCUAUUAUCGUAGCAUUAGUAAAAAACACUAUUUUAAGGAGUUCAUAUUUAUAAAACUAAGAGGAUCACCAUAAUAAGAGAAAAGUCUUGGACGUACUGUAAUAAGCUCGGAUUAAUGGAUGCUUGCCUUGGCGGUUUGUAACAUGAAAUUCCACAUCUUGAGAUUCUUUGGCCAAAGACUCAAGCUUUGUGGAUAAAAAUUCUUUCAUGCCUUUUGAGCUUCCACCCCAAUUACAAUACGAAAACUCAAUUCGACGGCACUAAAAAGAAAAUUAGUAAUACGAAGUUAAUGAAGGCCAAUCUUUUUUUUUUUUUUUUUUUUAAAAAAAAAGAAAGCUGAUUAAAUCUUACUGGGCGGGUAAAUGAACCUAGUCCAUUUUUGGGAAUUGAAAUUUUAGGAAUGAUUUCAAUCAUCAUUAAGUGAGUAAAAGGCCGUAAAAAAGGGGAUACCGUCUUUUAAAAACCAGAAUUCUUAAUAUGCUAUAUUGAAAAAAGUUGGGUGAGCAAAUCCUUGCAGAAAUAAUGAAAAGUCGGUAUGGAGACGUAAAGGGGUGUGUGGAAAUUCGCAAAUCCCAAAU
This is a non-coding RNA of Schizosaccharomyces pombe (fission yeast), 586 nucleotides long. Lineage: Eukaryota; Fungi; Ascomycota; Schizosaccharomycetes; Schizosaccharomycetales; Schizosaccharomycetaceae. The record is from the annotation of a GenBank genome assembly.